GACGAACGCUGGCGGCGUGCUUAACACAUGCAAGUCGAGCGGAAAGGCCACUUCUGUGGUACUCGAGCGGCGAACGGGUGAGUAACACGCGAGUAAUCUGCCCCUCACUUUGUUAUAGCCACCGGAAACGGUGAUUAAUACCUGAUAUGACCAUAUUUCUCAUGGCGUGUGGUGGAAAGUUUUUCGGUGCGGGAUGUGCUCGCGGCCUAUCAGCUUGAUGGUGGGGUAAUGGCUCACCAUGGCUUCGACGGGUAGCCGGCCUGAGAGGGUGACCGGUCACACUGGGACUGAGACACGGCCCAGACUCCUACGGGAGGCAGCAGUGGGGAAUAUUGCACAAUGGGCGGAAGCCUGAUGCAGCAACGCCGCGUGAGGGAUGACGGCCUUCGGGUUGUAAACCUCUUUCAGUACCGACGAAGCGCAAGUGACGGUAGGUACAGAAGAAGCACCGGCCAACUACGUG
RNAcentral lists this ribosomal RNA (463 nucleotides) under uncultured bacterium. RNAcentral describes it as "partial 16S ribosomal RNA". It matches the Rfam family "Bacterial small subunit ribosomal RNA", at positions 28 to 507 of the family's 1533-position model. The record is from RNAcentral.